This is a long non-coding RNA of Orcinus orca (killer whale), 521 nucleotides long. RefSeq lists it as uncharacterized. The transcript is spliced from 4 exons. NCBI's taxonomy places the organism in Eukaryota, Metazoa, Chordata, Mammalia, Artiodactyla, Delphinidae. The record is from RefSeq and is a predicted model, not a curated record.
AGCUUACUGUCUGCCCCCUUUGGCCUAAUAACUGAAUUGAAAGGAAUUGUUGAAUCACUGCCCAAUGGACAUGGAGAGCCACCAUCAUCUCAUUCACCGGCUCUGAGUGUCCCCCUGGCUGGGUGCCCAUUUGCAAGUGGGAGCACCGAGAGGUGGUGAUCCGGUCUUUUGUCUUGCCUGGAGCCCUCAGAAAGACUCCGAUUUGAGAAGGCUUUUAUACUGGGAUUCCAGGGUUCCCAGAAUGGAGCUCUUUAGCAUCCGCUGCUGUCAUCAUGACUCAGCUUGCCAAUCUGGGUACGAAGAAGCCAGAACAAACAGGUCACAACAAGGAGCCAUUGGGAGAAUCAUUAACUAUCAUAUGGAGCAUCUGGCAACAUGCCGGGGACAUAAUAGUUGAGAGAUUUGAAACAACACCCUGGAUGAGGGGGAGACACAGUGAAAGCAGGAGAUUCAGCAGCUGAUGGCUGGCAAAGAGGUCGAGAGGGACACGCAGCUCUAUUUGUUACAGAAAUCCAACGUAU